Molecule: long non-coding RNA, 516 nt
Organism: Spinacia oleracea (spinach)
Lineage: Eukaryota; Viridiplantae; Streptophyta; Magnoliopsida; Caryophyllales; Amaranthaceae
Exons: 2
Source: RefSeq, a predicted model, not a curated record
UCGUACUUGCUUGGUCCGUCAUUGUGUUGAAUUGUUUUAUCUGUUUGAAUUUGCAAAAUUGUAGAAAUCAAAUUAUAUGGCAGCCUCCUCCUGUUUUCUUUCUUUUUCUCAUUUAUUUCUUUGUUUAAAUUGAGGUGGUUAAAACAUGGCAGUUUUUGUUGUUUUUACAGCUUGUUUUGAGUACUGGAAGCGGUGUUAAUGGUUUCACUCUAGAUCCAUCUCUUGGAGUGUAUAUUUUAACUCAUCCAGACAUCAAGGGAUCGAGUCGAUUGGAAGAAAGUCAACACGGCCUUAAUUAAGGUUUGUAAUGCAUGAUCUAAAGGGAGCUAAGUGGCCAGAUUAGAGAAAUUUGUUAGACUAGCUCUCUAGCCUUUUGUCUUUAUUUGUUAAUAUUAGUUUUAAUUUGUUAGACUAGCUAGCUAGGUGUUUAAAAAUUGUAAACGUACGUACUAUACGCUUUUCUCUAUUGGGUUAAUAUAAAUGAAGUUAAUUUAAUGAUUUAUUAAUAAAAAAUAA